Oryctolagus cuniculus (rabbit) is the source of this 1685-nucleotide non-coding RNA. The record is from RefSeq and is a predicted model, not a curated record. NCBI's taxonomy places the organism in Eukaryota, Metazoa, Chordata, Mammalia, Lagomorpha, Leporidae.
CAGGAAGGUCUGGCUGGUGGACGGGAUCAUCCUGCAGGAGGGGGCGGGACCAGGGCGGAGUUAGCCUAUGCUGCGCCACGCCCCUUUGCGCUAUGCCCCGCCCACGGUGAUUGGUGCGGACCCAAUCCUGCUACUGGUGUCUCUCCCGCCUCUGCAGCAGCCGUUGGAGCCCCUCUGCACCGAAUAUUCCCACCCUCUACGGUGGGGGAGUCACAGCCUCAGACCACGCCCCAAAUAUGCAUGCCCCGCCCUCACACCCACCCACUGGGACAGUAUCCAGCACUUACCUUUCCUCACUGGCACAGACUGGCCCCUGGGUGGCUCUCACAUCCCGCCUGCAGGGGGCACGCUGUCUAGCAGUGUCAUUCCUAGGACAACCACCGCUCAAGCACCCUCAUCUACUAACAUCUACUUUUUCAGGGGACCGAGGCUACAGGCCACACCCCCGUCAUCCGCAUCCCCACCCCCCACUCAGGUGACACCAGGCUGAUUCCUUACAGGGACGCUGUGGGCUCUUCUAGUUCCUCUUUUAUGCAAAUGAGAAGCCGUGAUGCAGGCCACUCCCCCUCAUCUGCAUGUCCCAUCUGAGGGUAAAACAUCUAGCUUCCGUGUAAUGUGUCUCUUCUGGCACAGUUUCCAAGCCGCUCUACUGAGUAUUCCCACCCAUUAAUGGGUCAUUGCUAUAGCCCAUUCCCUUCCACAGAGCUCGUCCAAGCCACACCCCACAGUGGCCUCCUAGGAACGGGGGUCUGGGACCAAGUCUGCUGUUUGCAUACUCUGCUCCUUGUCCAGACACUGAAGACAACCGCUGCCUUAGGUACGUGCCCAACCUGGCACUGACAGAGGUCACCAAAUCUUGCUCCCAGCCUCAGCUGAAGCAGCCCAAGGACCACUUCUAAGGAAGCUCCACACCCCCACGUCUGUCUGGGGUCCUGCUUACCUCCCACAAGCUGGAGGUCUUUCCACCACCAGAGGCCACCCUCCACCAAGGACUUCAGGCAAGGGUGCCGCCCCUCAAGAAGGCCAGCCCACUUCCCCACCCCAACCUCUUCCCCUACCAGCCUUUCAAAGCCCACUGCCACCCCUGGCCCCCCUGGCUCUAGGUCUUCCUCUUCCCCUCCACACUUCCCCCACAGAGCAUUGGAUUCCUCUUGAUCCCUUCCCCCAAAUAACCAGUUGAUAGGGACGCCCCCCCCCCUACUUUUCAAGGACAGAAGCUGGCUCCUUAAGAGAGCUUGAGCCUCUGUGUCUCUAAUUGGCUGCAAGAGGGGAGCAAGCAGCAGAGCCAGCUUCUGGUUGGAUGUCACCUCAGCCCAUGGCGGCCGUGCGGCAGUUAACCCCUGCAGCGCCUGAGUGCAGGCCUCUGCAGUGGGGGACGAAGGACUGAAUCAUGGCCCUAAAAUGAAAGGAAGACCCCAGUGGGGUCUGCUGCCCAGCUGGGGGCAGGGAGCCAUCGACAUCUGUGAACAGGCAGGAUCUGGGGCCCCGUGAAGCUACCCUGACCCUGCUGUAUGGUGGCCACGGGUCAGAGAGAAACAGAGAGCUGGAGUCACAGGAACAGCUUCCACAGGAAAGUGUCAUCCACCUCCCCUCCGGUCCUGCCUUGCAAACAGUAGGUGCUCAACAGAUAUGUGUUUAUAAAAAGGGACAACUGGGCCACUUUCUGUGUGACCUUGGGCAAGUGA